UUCCGGUUGAUCCUGCCAGACCUGACUGCUAUCGGAUUGAUACUAAGCCAUGCGAGUCGUUGUAGCAAUACAAGGCAUACGGCUCAGUAACGCGUAGUCAACCUAACCUAUGGACGGGAAUAACCUCGGGAAACUGAGAAUAAUGCCCGAUAGAACAUUAUGCCUGGAAUGGUUUAUGUUCCAAAUGAUUUAUCGCCAUAGGAUGGGACUGCGGCCUAUCAGUUUGUUGGUGAGGUAAUGGCCCACCAAGACUAUUACAGGUACGGGCUCUGAGAGGAGUAGCCCGGAGAUGGGUACUGAGACACGGACCCAGGCCCUAUGGGGCGCAGCAGGCGAGAAAACUUUGCAAUGUGCGAAAGCACGACAAGGUUAAUCCGAGUGAUUUCUGCUAAAGAGAUCUUUUGUUAGUCCUAGAAACACUAACGAAUAAGGGGUGGGCAAGUUCUGGUGUCAGCCGCCGCGGUAAAACCAGCACCUCAAGUGGUCAGGAUGAUUAUUGGGCCUAAAGCAUCCGUAGCCGGCUCUGUAAGUUUUCGGUUAAAUCUGUACGCUCAACGUACAGGCUGCCGGAAAUACUGCAGAACUAGGGAGUGGGAGAGGUAGACGGUACUCGGUAGGAAGUGGUAAAAUGCUUUGAUCUAUCGAUGACCACCUGUGGCGAAGGCGGUCUACCAGAACACGUCCGACGGUGAGGGAUGAAAGCUGGGGGAGCAAACCGGAUUAGAUACCCGGGUAGUCCCAGCUGUAAACUAUGCAAACUCAGUGAUGCAUUGGCUUGUGGCCAAUGCAGUGCUGCAGGGAAGCCGUUAAGUUUGCCGCCUGGGAAGUACGUACGCAAGUAUGAAACUUAAAGGAAUUGGCGGGGGAGCACCACAAGGGGUGAAGCCUGCGGUUCAAUUGGAGUCAACGCCGGG
Molecule: ribosomal RNA, 914 nt
Filed under: uncultured archaeon
Lineage: Archaea
Description: bacterial SSU rRNA
Rfam family: Archaeal small subunit ribosomal RNA
Source: RNAcentral